UGGGGAAUAUUGCACAAUGGGCGCAAGCCUGAUGCAGCCAUGCCGCGUGUAUGAAGAAGGCCUUCGGGUUGUAAAGUACUUUCAGCGGGGAGGAAGGUGUUGAGGUUAAUAACCUCAGCAAUUGACGUUACCCGCAGAAGGAGCACCGGCUAACUCCGUGCCAGCAGCCGCGGUAAUACGGAGGGUGCAAGCGUUAAUCGGAAUUACUGGGCGUAAAGCGCACGCAGGCGGUCUGUCAAGUCGGAUGUGAAAUCCCCGGGCUCAACCUGGGAACUGCAUUCGAAACUGGCAGGCUAGAGUCUUGUAGAGGGGGGUAGAAUUCCAGGUGUAGCGGUGAAAUGCGUAGAGAUCUGGAGGAAUACCGGUGGCGAAGGCGGCCCCCUGGACAAAGACUGACGCUCAGGUGCGAAAGCGUGGGGAGCAAACA
Molecule: ribosomal RNA, 427 nt
Filed under: uncultured bacterium
Lineage: Bacteria
Description: partial 16S ribosomal RNA
Rfam family: Bacterial small subunit ribosomal RNA
Source: RNAcentral